AACGCACAUUGCGCCUGCUAGUACUCUGGCGGGCAUGCCUGCUCGAGCGUCAUUUUAACCACUGGGCUCUCCAAUUGGCUGGGCCUGUGUUGGGGCCCUGCAGAUGCCUGCAGGCCCUAAAAAAUAGUGGUGGACUCGUGGUUGCCCCAAGUGUAGUAACAUUUAUCUCGCUUUUGGAGGUGGCUCGAGGCUCUUGGCCAUAAAACAGGUGGCUCUGUCCCCCAAAAGGUUGACCUCGGAUUAGGUAGGAGGACCCGCUGAACUUAA
RNAcentral lists this unclassified non-coding RNA (267 nucleotides) under uncultured Ascomycota. RNAcentral describes it as "sequence contains 5.8S rRNA gene, ITS2, 28S rRNA gene". Lineage: Eukaryota; Fungi; Ascomycota. The record is from RNAcentral.